CAAAUUUUGAUCUGAAAUCAGGUAGGAUUACCCGCUGAACUUAAGCAUAUCAAUAAGCGGAGGAAAAGAAACUAACAAGGAUUCCCUCAGUAACGGCGAGUGAAGCGGGAAGAGCUCAAAUUUAAAAUCUGGUUUACUUGUAAGCCCGAGUUGUAGUCUGAAGAAACGUUUUCCAUAAGCACUGAGGCAAAAGUCCCUUGGAACAGGGCAUCAUAGAGGGUGAGAAUCCCGUCCAUGGUCUCAAGUUGUUUAUUUUGUGAUACGUUUUCAAAGAGUCAGGUUGUUUGGGAAUGCAGCCUAAAAUGGGUGGUAAAUUUCAUCUAAAGCUAAAUAUUGGCGAGAGACCGAUAGCGAACAAGUACCGUGAGGGAAAGAUGAAAAGAACUUUGAAAAGAGAGUUAAACAGUACGUGAAAUUGUUGAAAGGGAACCGUUUGAAGCCAGUCUUACUUGCUCGUGAUCAAUUUUUGCCUCGGCAUGAAUGCACUCUCGGGUAUGGUAGGCCAACGACAGUUUAGAAUGCGAGAAAAAAAUAGGGGAAAUGUGGCCUUCGGGUGUUAUAGUCCCUUAUAAAAUAUCGUGUUCUGGACUGAGGAUCGCAGCAAAAAUGUGGGCAGGUGGAUUUCUGUGGUAACUGUCGGUUAGGACAACUUGUUGACCUAGUCUUCCUUAGCCUCACUAUUUACCUUGCUUCUAAUUUGCUUAGGUCGUUGGCAUAAUGGCUUUAAAUGACCCGUCUUGAAACACGGACCAAGGAGUCUAACAUAUAUGCGAGUAUUUGGGUGGCAAACCCAUAUGCGCAAUGAAAGUGAAAUUAGGUGCCAAACCUUCACGGGUGGCAGCAUCGGCCGGCUCUGACGUUUUAACUGACGAGUCUGAGCAGAAGCAUACAUGUUGGGACCCGAAAGAUGGUGAACUAUGCCUGAAUAGGGUGAAGCCAGAGGAAACUCUGGUGGAGGCUCGUAGCGAUUCUGACGUGCAAAUCGAUCGUCAAAUUUGGGUAUAGGGGCGAAAGACUAAUCGAACC
This 1026-nucleotide ribosomal RNA is filed under the name Umbelopsis ramanniana. RNAcentral describes it as "eukaryotic LSU rRNA". It matches the Rfam family "Eukaryotic large subunit ribosomal RNA", at positions 1 to 941 of the family's 3401-position model. Lineage: Eukaryota; Fungi; Mucoromycota; Umbelopsidomycetes; Umbelopsidales; Umbelopsidaceae. The record is from RNAcentral.